This 71-nucleotide transfer RNA is filed under the name Metamycoplasma hyosynoviae. RNAcentral describes it as "Mycoplasma hyosynoviae tRNA". It matches the Rfam family "tRNA". From Rfam's summary of the family: Transfer RNA (tRNA) molecules are approximately 80 nucleotides in length. Their secondary structure includes four short double-helical elements and three loops (D, anti-codon, and T loops). Further hydrogen bonds mediate the characteristic L-shaped molecular structure. tRNAs have two regions of fundamental functional importance: the anti-codon, which is responsible for specific mRNA codon recognition, and the 3' end, to which the tRNAs corresponding amino acid is attached (by aminoacyl-tRNA synthetases). tRNAs cope with the degeneracy of the genetic code in two manners: having more than one tRNA (with a specific anti-codon) for a particular amino acid; and 'wobble' base-pairing, i.e. permitting non-standard base-pairing at the 3rd anti-codon position. The record is from Rfam by way of RNAcentral. Lineage: Bacteria; Bacillati; Mycoplasmatota; Mycoplasmoidales; Metamycoplasmataceae.
AGGGGAUUAGUUUAAUGGUAGAACUGAGGACUCCAAACCCUCUGGUGUGGGUUCAAUUCCUGCAUCCCCUG